GCAGUCGAGCGGAACGAGUUGUUUGAACCUUCGGGGGACGACAACGGCGUCGAGCGGCGGACGGGUGAGUAAUGCCUGGGAAAUUGCCCUGAUGUGGGGGAUAACCAUUGGAAACGAUGGCUAAUACCGCAUGAUAGCUUCGGCUCAAAGAGGGGGACCUUCGGGCCUCUCGCGUCAGGAUAUGCCCAGGUGGGAUUAGCUAGUUGGUGAGGUAAGGGCUCACCAAGGCGACGAUCCCUAGCUGGUCUGAGAGGAUGAUCAGCCACACUGGAACUGAGACACGGUCCAGACUCCUACGGGAGGCAGCAGUGGGGAAUAUUGCACAAUGGGCGCAAGCCUGAUGCAGCCAUGCCGCGUGUAUGAAGAAGGCCUUCGGGUUGUAAAGUACUUUCAGCAGUGAGGAAGAUGGUGUGUUUAAUACGUACAUCAUUUGACGUUAGCUGCAGAAGAAGCACCGGCUAACUCCGUGCCAGCAGCCGCGGUAAUACGGAGGGUGCGAGCGUUAAUCGGAAUUACUGGGCGUAAAGCGCAUGCAGGUGGUUUGUUAAGUCAGAUGUGAAAGCCCGGGGCUCAACCUCGGAAUAGCAUUUGAAACUGGCAGACUAGAGUACUGUAGAGGGGGGUAGAAUUUCAGGUGUAGCGGUGAAAUGCGUAGAGAUCUGAAGGAAUACCGGUGGCGAAGGCGGCCCCCUGGACAGAUACUGACACUCAGAUGCGAAAGCGUGGGGAGCAAACAGGAUUAGAUACCCUGGUAGUCCACGCCGUAAACGAUGUCUACUUGGGAGGUUGUGGCCUUGAGCCGUGGCUUUCGGAGCUAACGCGUUAAGUAGACCGCCUGGGGAGUACGGUCGCAAGAUUAAAACUCAAAUGAAUUGACGGGGGCCCGCACAAGCGGUGGAGCAUGUGGUUUAAUUCGAUGCAACGCGAAGAACCUUACCUACUCUUGACAUCCUCAGAAGAGACUGGAGACAGUCUUGUGCCUUCGGGAACUGAGAGACAGGUGCUGCAUGGCUGUCGUCAGCUCGUGUUGUGAAAUGUUGGGUUAAGUCCCGCAACGAGCGCAACCCUUAUCCUUGUUUGCCAGCACUUCGGGUGGGAACUCCAGGG
Molecule: ribosomal RNA, 1107 nt
Filed under: marine bacterium AK16_046
Lineage: Bacteria
Description: bacterial SSU rRNA
Rfam family: Bacterial small subunit ribosomal RNA
Source: RNAcentral